UAACAACAUAUAUCUGACGAGGUCAAUCUUAUUGUUUUCAUUUUGAAGGAACGGAUCGAAUGUCCGAGGAUAUUUUUCAUGGUCCUUCUUAGAUCUCUUCGAACUGAUUGAAGGCAAAGAAGCAAGCUAUGGUCUGUAUUAUGUAGAUUUUAAUGACCCAGAUUUGAAGAGACAGCCUAAGCUCUCUGCACAUUGGUACUCUGAUUUUCUUAAGGGAGGAAACAUAAGUUCUGAUGGAAUUAAGAUGUUGGAGAGAAGUAGUACUUCUAGUUUCUCUCAAACCUCCUAUUAUGCUCAGUAGAACACGUACUUCUUUUAUCCAUUUAUGUACAACAUUUUCCACUCUAUUAUUACAAACUAUUAUGUUGAUCCUACAAAACUUGUCUUUCUAUCAACAUUUGGUUCCCCACAAGGAUUGCAUCGAAUAAUGUUCAAUAGUCUUGUUACAUUUUUCUCAUUAAAGUUUAUUCGAGUAACGAGCCUUACCCCUACAAGAAACAAUAGAUUAAUUCCUAGACUUCCUAAACUUCCCAAUUUCAAGUUUAUCUGUAACAUAACAUCCUAUAGCUAUGUUAACUCUGGAGGACCAUCAUUACUUCAAUGGAACAUACACAAAUGACAAAUGGACAUUGCAUUUUCAUACCAAAUACAUAUAGAGAUGGUUUUGCUAAAAAUUGAAUGACAUACAGACAUACAGUACUAAAAUGCCAAUAAUUUCAAUAAAUAUUGACAGACAUAUAUGGGUCCAAAAUAUGGAUAUGGCCUACCCAAUUGCCCUUUGCCCAAGCCAAAAAAGUUCCAAUGGCAAAUGCAUAGACAAUGAUAGUAUGAUACAGUAUAUGAUUCCCUUUCCACCUUUUAAAUCUGUCAAAAAAUAAUUGAGAAUGACAAUGCAUGAAUGAGACGUGAACAAAAUGUACAGUUUAGUGAAUAAUUUUUUUUUAUUACAAAUGGAAAUUUUUGUGUUAUAAACUAGAUCUCACCACUCAAAAUACAAGAAGAUAUGUUUUUGAGGAUUCCUUCCCUUUCUUCUUCUAUUUGUUUACAAUUUUUUCAUCAUGUUGCACUACUAGUAAUAGUAGUGGUGGUGGUUAGUGUUAUUAGUCAUGUUCAUUCAUCAGAGAAUACCCUCACCUUUAGCAGACAAGAUUUCCCACCAAACUUUGUUUUUGGCUCUGGAACCUCAGCUUAUCAGGUCAGUAGUUACAGUUAAGAGUCACUGGAUCUUUUCUUUUCUUUUCUGUACUACUGUCAUGACUCAUGACUAUAUAUGUUCUAUAUGUUUGUUUUGGCUUAAAGUCUUAGAACUCUAGUUGAUUAUAUAUUGAUAAAAUGUGUGUGUGCUAGGUUGAAGGUGCAGCAGCAGAAGAUGGAAGGACACCCAGUGUUUGGGAUACCUUUGCUCACUCUGGUUUGUUUUUCUUCUACUGUACUUGUUUCCAAUUUCUUCUUCUGCUAUAUAAUACUGCAAAAACUAUACCAAAAACUGGAAAUCUUGAUGGAAUCUAUCAAGAAAUACAUGUUAAUGUGUCCAUUAAUUGAUGGGCAUCAAGAACAAAUGUAUGUCUAUCUCCACUUAAUCACUUGAUGGUUCAUAUCCUCUGCCCUUAGAUACCAUCUUCUAAUCCUCAAUCCCCAAUUAGGGAUUUUCUUUGUUGCGUUAUAAUGGGAAUGUUUAAUUUAGGUCACAAUACAUUAUGUCUGCAAGCAUUAGGGGAAUAAGUUGUUUACAGACCUUUAAUUUUUACUUAGUGUUGUUUUUUCUUCUCCAUUUAUAUAAUUGAUUUACACAAAAAAAUACUGUAAUAAAAGUAUAUUAUGUUGGUUCUUAGUUUGAAUUCUCUUAAAGGCGCAACUUUGGCUGCCAACUUACAAAUUAAUGGAAAUUUAUUGCACUCAAAGAACUGAACAAACCUUCUGAAAGAAGGUGAUUUUCAGUUUAUACUUUAUACAAUCCAUUUGGUGUCUCACUUUUCAAAAUUUUGCAUUACAGGCCGUUUGAGGGACAAAAGCAAUGGGGAUGUGGCAUGUGACCAAUAUCACAAAUAUAAGGUGCUAUGAAUUUUGAAUCACAGACAUAAUGUAAUGGGUCGUGGUUUGCUCUUUCUACUCAUAAUCAGCUGUUAAUUACUGUGAAACAUAUUCCCCAAACUAUUUCUAUAACAGGGCUGGAUGAUCAAUGUGCUAAUGGAUUGAAGUUCUGUGAUUGUUUAAGUUUCUUAGUGAAAUCUCUUGCAGGAAGAUGUUCAACUCAUGGUAGAUACAGGGCUGGAAGCCUACAGAUUCUCUAUUUCAUGGUCAAGGAUUAUCCCAAGUAUGAAUAACGGAAUUACAACACAAUUUGCUGAAUGUUUUCUUCUUAAAAAGGAAUGUUAGAAAUGUUUUGAAAGAUGAUAUAUAUGAUACUCUUUUUUUCUAUUUAUUUAGAUGGGAAAGGACCUGUCAACCCAAAGGGCUUACAAUAUUACAACAAUCUUAUUGAUGAACUCAUCAAACAUGGUAAUACCCGACUUUGUUAAGAGAUCUUUAAUUUUUUCCUUAUAAACGAAUAACAUCGACCAUAGGAGCUACAAUAAUCUUUAAAGCAGAUCAAUCAUAACAUGUGGAACAGGAUAGUCUUUAUUUAAUGAACCGAAAGUUUAAAUUAGGGCUGUUCAAAAGCAAGGUAGUUAGUUUGGACUCAACAAAUUUUUAUUCUUCUGACUAGUCAGAUUGCUUGGAAAUGUCAAGUUCUAUGUGUAAGUGGUCACCUAGUGGGAUUCAACAACCAAUUCAUUGGAUUUGUAUUGCUACUAGGGUGGUUGAUUCAACUAAAAAGAUGAUUUACAACAUAUUCCUUGAAAAAGUUAGUUACAGGUUCUCACUUUUUGCGUUUGAAUAGGAAUUCAGCCCUGUGUUACGUUGUGCCAUUUUGAUCUACCUCAAGCACUUGAAGAUGACUAUGGUGGAUGGCUAAGCGAAAAGAUUGUGUCAGUCUCUUUUCUCGUUUUCUUAGCUUAAUUUAUUAUAUUAUUUUGCUAAGAGAUGUGGUGCAUGCUCCACACCAAAUUACUUUUGCAGUUUAAUGAUGUUAUCUCCUUCAUAAUUGUAUAAUUAUCAUUGGAUAUAGGGAUGAUUUUACAGCAUAUGCAGAUGUAUGCUUUAAAGAAUUUGGCGACAGAGUCUCGCACUGGACUACUAUAAAUGAGCCCAAUUCGGUUGCCUUGGGUGGUUAUGACCUUGGAAGUCUUCCACCUCAGAGGUGUUCUUAUCCCUAUGGGGAAAAUUGCACGAAAGGCAACUCCUCUGUGGAGCCAUAUAUCUACACUCAUAAUAGCUUGCUGGCACAUGCUUCAGCUGUAAGAUUGUACCAGAAUAAGUACCAGGUAUUUAAUCAUUGUCUUCAUAAAAUUUGGUUAAUUGAUUGUGAACCAAUUUUGUAGAAGAAGACCUGUUAUUUUUUUGUUAUCUAUUCAUAACUUGAGAUUGAUGGAAAUGAUGUAGGCCAAACAAAAAGGAUUUAUCGGCUUGACCAUAUUUACUUACUGGUUGAUUCCAUUUUCCAACUCUGUGAAAGAUGCGAAAGCAACUCAACGAGCUUAUGAUCUUUUCAUGGGUUGGUAAGCCACUGUCUCCUAACAUCAGCAAAGCUAAAACUUCAAAUAAUAUUCUAAAAGUUCUAUAACAGGUUUAUCAAUCCACUGGUGUUUGGAGACUACCCUAAAACCCUGAAGAAGCAUGCUGGCUCGAAGAUCCCCACUUUUACCCCACAACAGUCAGAACUAGUAAAAGGCUCUUUUGACUUCUUAGGACUGAAUCACUAUCAGACAGUGCAAAUCACGGAUGAUUCAAACAGUCUCAAGCUCGAAGAGAGAGAUGCUUACAAAGACAUGGGAGUGAAGCGAAUAAGUAUGCGUCGUUAUUAAUUUUCUUGACAGUGAAUUUUAGUUGUCAGAAAUAUUUCUAUAUUUUAGUGGAAUAUCAUUGACCUCAUAUUCUGACGGAGCCAGUUUUUUCAGGGAAUCAAUAAAAUCUUCACACUAGACUAGUUCUUGUUGGUCUACACGGUUCUGGAAAUAUUGAAGUUCUUGCACCAUUAUUUUGUAGAAGCUUUGUGCAUGAUGUUCAUAACUCAUGACAGAACUAGAUAAAUGCAUGCUUAGAAAACUGUUAUUUUAGGAGGCACCAUUCUUUACAACUCACAAAUUUUCAUCUGUUGCAGAUAGUUGGAAUGGAGGGUCCUAUGAUGAGGUAAAAAUAUAAAAAUUUUCACAUAUCGCAUGUGUGUUUAUUUUAAAGUCAAUUCUUAUAUAUGACGUAAAUGGGUUGAUUCAGAUACAACUGGAUCCCUUGGGUCUGGAACUAGUGCUGGAGCAUCUCAAGCAAGUUUAUCACAACCCUCCUAUCUUUAUCCAUGAAAAUGGUAUUAAUUUUCUCCUAAUAUACUUCUUGUCGUAGGAAGAAUCUGCAUUGAAGUUAGUAUAGGUUCUCCAUCCAGAAAUAUCACCUCAGCUCAUACAAACAUUAUUGUCAUAUAUAAUUGGUUGAUGAUUACUACAACAAUAAGUAUACUUAAUAUUAACUUGGUAUGUGUUUCAAAACAUGGUGCCAGGUCAAAGAACAUUACAUAAUGCAUCAUUAUAUGACACAUCAAGGAUGAAUUAUUUGGCUGGUUUCAUCCGAAGUUUACUCAACGCAAUAAGGUAUUUUGGAAUUGGUUUAUUGCGAAAAACAUUUUUUAGUCUCGUAAACAUGUGUGGAUAUUUGAGUUUCGUUACAUAAAAACGUUCUACAAAGUCCUCAAUAACAUAUAUCUGACGAGGUCAAUGUUAUUGUUUUCAUUUUGAAGGAACGGAUCGGAUGUGAGAGGAUAUUUUUCAUGGUCCUUCUUAGAUCUAUUCGAACUGAUUGAAGGCAAAGAAGCAAGCUAUGGUCUGUAUUAUGUAGAUUUUAAUGACCCCGAUUUGAAGAGGCAACCUAAGCUCUCUGCACAUUGGUACUCUGGUUUUCUUAAGGG
This 4996-nucleotide long non-coding RNA is filed under the name Aquilegia coerulea. Its description in RNAcentral is "long non-coding RNA (ACOE_LNC000258)". The record is from RNAcentral. Lineage: Eukaryota; Viridiplantae; Streptophyta; Magnoliopsida; Ranunculales; Ranunculaceae.